UGGUGAACUGGUUAAAAAAAACGAAAUAAUUUCCGUCCAACGAACUUUCUCAAACGUAUCCGCUCCCGCGAUUCCGCUUGCAUUUUUCGAUCGACUUGCCAUUUUAAGUUUAGGAAUCUGCUAGGAAAGAAGAGUUUUAUCUGACGAGAUAUAUUUCAUUGCUUGAAUGAAUUUCGGCUCAAUGGUUGGCCCGGGCCAGAUUGAAUGGAUGUAGGCUUUUGCCCUCUUGUGAUUUCGAUGGGAUUAUUGGUUUCGCCAGUUUACAUUAGACUGGGCCCAAUCGAGUAGACAAGAUGAGAAGACCGCAACUCUUGCUUUCAGUCCGAAGCUGUACGAAUCCUCUGAAAUGUUUUUACCGGCCGUGCCGUUCGAGUACCCUCAGGAUCUCGCUUUGAGACCUGAGCAAAUUGUGAUUGAAUGUGUACCCUCAGGCUCUCCGAGACCUGAGAAAAAAGUUAUUGAUGUACUCUCAGGACCUCUGGUAGAGACCUGAGCAAAAUUCGUAGUUUCUCUCACUGUUUACAGGAGCAAAUGGACUAUAAUAAAUGAAUUUUUGG
Armigeres subalbatus is the source of this 557-nucleotide long non-coding RNA. RefSeq lists it as uncharacterized. The transcript has 3 exons. Lineage: Eukaryota; Metazoa; Arthropoda; Insecta; Diptera; Culicidae. The record is from RefSeq and is a predicted model, not a curated record.